AGCUGAAGGUCUGGCUGUGACAUCUGUCACCCCAUUGAUUGCCAGGAUUGAUUUGGCCGAUCUGUCUAGGCAGGUGUCCCCUUCCAUCCUCAUAGUUCCACGUGUCUUACUCUUGAGCAUACUCUUGCACGCACAGUCAAAGAAGAUGACUUUCCUGAAUAGAAGAGAACCAUUCUUUGGUCAAGGGUAUAAUGGUUGCUGUGUUCCCUGGUAGAACCUCCAAACAAAAUGUCCUAGCUGGGUGUAGUGACUCAAGCCUAUAAUCCCAACUCUUUGGGAAGCUGAGGUGAGAG
RNAcentral lists this small nuclear RNA (293 nucleotides) under Aotus nancymaae (Ma's night monkey). RNAcentral describes it as "7SK RNA (ENSANAG00000004765.1)". It matches the Rfam family "7SK RNA". From Rfam's summary of the family: 7SK was discovered as an abundant small nuclear RNA in the mid-70s but a possible function has only recently been suggested. Two independent studies have found that 7SK RNA binds the CDK9/cyclin T complex (known as elongation factor P-TEFb). P-TEFb activates transcription by phosphorylating the C-terminal domain of RNA polymerase II. The record is from Rfam by way of RNAcentral. Lineage: Eukaryota; Metazoa; Chordata; Mammalia; Primates; Aotidae.